Molecule: long non-coding RNA, 422 nt
Filed under: Hordeum vulgare
Lineage: Eukaryota; Viridiplantae; Streptophyta; Magnoliopsida; Poales; Poaceae
Description: long non-coding RNA (HVUL_LNC015115)
Source: RNAcentral
UACAUUGUUAGGUGCUUGCCCCUUUGCAUGUUGUGGUUUUGUACCUUGCAUGCGUUUAUAUAUGUUGUGCUUCCAACUUGCUUAUCUUGAGUAAUCGAGUAUGUGUAUGUUGGUUUGCAUAUCAUGUACAUGUGAGUCUUGUAUUGAGCCUUUUUGCAUCUUGUUCGUAUUUUUGUUGGCCCUUGUGAGAGAUUAAUGGAUUAUCCCAUUGUGGGGGAGUGAUGUGCUUUGCACACCUCACAAUCCUAUAAAUGUGUAUACAUGGGGAAUACAACUUAGUUUUGAUAUUUCAAGAUUAUCUAGUUUCUAUGUGGUAUGUCUUACUCAUGAGAAAUUCAAAUUCUAUAUGGUCCAUUAAGUAUCUCUUGUUGGUUUUAAUUUACCACUUGUUAAUAUUGUUGGUUUAUCACAUUAUGGGGGAG